This 414-nucleotide ribosomal RNA is filed under the name Corynebacterium sp. F64. RNAcentral describes it as "bacterial SSU rRNA". It matches the Rfam family "Bacterial small subunit ribosomal RNA", at positions 117 to 545 of the family's 1533-position model. The record is from RNAcentral. Lineage: Bacteria; Bacillati; Actinomycetota; Actinomycetes; Mycobacteriales; Corynebacteriaceae.
GUGGGAAAUCUGCCCUGCACUCCGGGACAAGCCUUGGAAACGAGGUCUAAUACCGGAUAUGACCUUCCUCUGCAUGGGGGUUGGUGGAAAGCUCCGGCGGUGCAGGAUGAUCCCGCGGCCUAUCAGCUUGUUGGUGGGGUAAUGGCCUACCAAGGCGACGACGGGUAGCCGGCCUGAGAGGGCGACCGGCCACACUGGGACUGAGACACGGCCCAGACUCCUACGGGAGGCAGCAGUGGGGAAUAUUGCACAAUGGGCGAAAGCCUGAUGCAGCGACGCCGCGUGAGGGAUGACGGCCUUCGGGUUGUAAACCUCUUUCAGCAGGGAAGAAGCGCAAGUGACGGUACCUGCAGAAGAAGCACCGGCUAACUACGUGCCAGCAGCCGCGGUAAUACGUAGGGUGCGAGCGUUGUC